This 447-nucleotide ribosomal RNA is filed under the name uncultured bacterium. Its description in RNAcentral is "bacterial SSU rRNA". It matches the Rfam family "Bacterial small subunit ribosomal RNA", at positions 355 to 825 of the family's 1533-position model. The record is from RNAcentral.
UCGGGAAUUUUGGGCAAUGGGCGCAAGCCUGAUCCAGCCAUGCCGCGUGAGUGAAGAAGGCCUUCGGGUUGUAAAGCUCUUUUACCAGGGACGAUAAUGACGGUACCUGGAGAAUAAGCCCCGGCAAACUUCGUGCCAGCAGCCGCGGUAAUACGAAGGGGGCUAGCGUUGUUCGGAAUUACUGGGCGUAAAGCGCACGUAGGCGGAUUGUUAAGUCAGAGGUGAAAUCCCGGAGCUCAACUUCGGAACUGCCUUUGAUACUGGCAAUCUAGAGUCCGGAAGAGGUUAGUGGAAUUCCCAGUGUAGAGGUGAAAUUCGUAGAUAUUGGGAAGAACACCAGUGGCGAAGGCGGCUAACUGGUCCGGUACUGACGCUGAGGUGCGAAAGCGUGGGGAGCAAACAGGAUUAGAUACCCGAGUAGUCCCUGAGCGGGCUGGCAAGGCGCAU